AGCGGCGGACGGGUGAGUAACGCGUGGGCAACCUGCCUUACACAGGGGGAUAACAGUUAGAAAUGACUGCUAAUACCACAUAAGACCGCGGAACCGCAUGGUUCUGAGGUAAAAACUCCGGUGGUGUAAGAUGGGCCCGCGUCUGAUUAGGUAGUUGGUGAGGUAACGGCUCACCAAGCCGACGAUCAGUAGCCGACCUGAGAGGGUGACCGGCCACAUUGGGACUGAGACACGGCCCAGACUCCUACGGAAGGCAGCAG
RNAcentral lists this ribosomal RNA (260 nucleotides) under uncultured bacterium. Its description in RNAcentral is "partial 16S ribosomal RNA". It matches the Rfam family "Bacterial small subunit ribosomal RNA", at positions 94 to 354 of the family's 1533-position model. The record is from RNAcentral.